Molecule: ribosomal RNA, 899 nt
Filed under: uncultured bacterium
Lineage: Bacteria
Description: bacterial SSU rRNA
Rfam family: Bacterial small subunit ribosomal RNA
Source: RNAcentral
ACACAUGCAAGUCGAACGAGCGAUGGAGAGCUUGCUUUCCAGAGCGAGUGGCGAACGGGUGAGUAACGCGUGAGGAACCUGCCUCAAAGAGGGGGACAACAGUUGGAAACGACUGCUAAUACCGCAUAAGCCCACGGCUCGGCAUCGAGCAGAGGGAAAAGGAGUGGUCCGCUUUGAGAUGGCCUCGCGUCCGAUUAGCUAGUUGGUGAGGUAACGGCCCACCAAGGCGACGAUCGGUAGCCGGACUGAGAGGUUGAACGGCCACAUUGGGACUGAGACACGGCCCAGACUCCUACGGGAGGCAGCAGUGGGGAAUAUUGCACAAUGGGGGAAACCCUGAUGCAGCGACGCCGCGUGGAGGAAGAAGGUCUUCGGAUUGUAAACUCCUGUUGUUGAGGAAGAUAAUGACGGUACUCAACAAGGAAGUGACGGCUAACUACGUGCCAGCAGCCGCGGUAAAACGUAGGUCACAAGCGUUGUCCGGAAUUACUGGGUGUAAAGGGAGCGCAGGCGGGAGAACAAGUUGGAAGUGAAAUCCAUGGGCUCAACCCAUGAACUGCUUUCAAAACUGUUUUUCUUGAGUAGUGCAGAGGUAGGCGGAAUUCCCGGUGUAGCGGUGGAAUGCGUAGAUAUCGGGAGGAACACCAGUGGCGAAGGCGGCCUACUGGGCACCAACUGACGCUGAGGCUCGAAAGUGUGGGUAGCAAACAGGAUUAGAUACCCUGGUAGUCCACACCGUAAACGAUGAUUACUAGGUGUUGGAGGAUUGACCCCUUCAGUGCCGCAGUUAACACAAUAAGUAAUCCACCUGGGGAGUACGACCGCAAGGUUGAAACUCAAAGGAAUUGACGGGGGCCCGCACAAGCAGUGGAGUAUGUGGUUUAAUUCGACGCAACGCG